AUGAACGCUGGCGGCGUGCCUAAUACAUGCAAGUCGAGCGAACGGACGAGAAGCUUGCUUCUCUGAUGUUAGCGGCGGACGGGUGAGUAACACGUGGAUAACCUACCUAUAAGACUGGGAUAACUUCGGGAAACCGGAGCUAAUACCGGAUAAUAUUUUGCACCGCAUGGUUCAAAAGUGAAAGACGGUCUUGCUGUCACUUAUAGAUGGAUCCGCGCUGCAUUAGCUAGUUGGUAAGGUAACGGCUUACCAAGGCAACGAUGCAUAGCCGACCUGAGAGGGUGAUCGGCCACACUGGAACUGAGACACGGUCCAGACUCCUACGGGAGGCAGCAGUAGGGAAUCUUCCGCAAUGGGCGAAAGCCUGACGGAGCAACGCCGCGUGAGUGAUGAAGGUCUUCGGAUCGUAAAACUCUGUUAUUAGGGAAGAACAUAUGUGUAAGUAACUGUGCACAUCUUGACGGUACCUAAUCAGAAAGCCACGGCUAACUACGUG
This 496-nucleotide ribosomal RNA is filed under the name uncultured bacterium. RNAcentral's name for it is "partial 16S ribosomal RNA". It matches the Rfam family "Bacterial small subunit ribosomal RNA", at positions 29 to 507 of the family's 1533-position model. The record is from RNAcentral.